AGUGUCACAACAAUCCACUUCUUUGACGUCUGCAAAAACAAAAGAUUCAGCUUCAGGUGAUAGGACGUCAUAAGGUCAAAUUUUAAAGGCAAUAGAAAGGACCGUUUUGAUUGUUUUGGUUGAAUGCCUGUACUUGUUGGUCAAUGGAUGGAGUUUUUAAAAGGAAACUGGUUACAACUGUGUCAAGUCUGCUCCGAAUAAAAGCUGAAUUGAAUGUGUCAAUACUUGUCCAUCCAUAUAAAUCCAAUCAUUAUAUGAUAAUUGCAAUCUGAAUAAAA
Mytilus californianus (California mussel) is the source of this 278-nucleotide long non-coding RNA. RefSeq lists it as uncharacterized. NCBI's taxonomy places the organism in Eukaryota, Metazoa, Mollusca, Bivalvia, Mytilida, Mytilidae. The transcript has 4 exons. The record is from RefSeq and is a predicted model, not a curated record.